RNAcentral lists this ribosomal RNA (847 nucleotides) under Klebsiella pneumoniae. RNAcentral describes it as "bacterial SSU rRNA". It matches the Rfam family "Bacterial small subunit ribosomal RNA", at positions 36 to 873 of the family's 1533-position model. The record is from RNAcentral. Lineage: Bacteria; Pseudomonadati; Pseudomonadota; Gammaproteobacteria; Enterobacterales; Enterobacteriaceae.
CUGGCGGCAGGCCUAACACAUGCAAGUCGAGCGGUAGCACAGAGAGCUUGCUCUCGGGUGACGAGCGGCGGACGGGUGAGUAAUGUCUGGGAAACUGCCUGAUGGAGGGGGAUAACUACUGGAAACGGUAGCUAAUACCGCAUAACGUCGCAAGACCAAAGUGGGGGACCUUCGGGCCUCAUGCCAUCAGAUGUGCCCAGAUGGGAUUAGCUAGUAGGUGGGGUAACGGCUCACCUAGGCGACGAUCCCUAGCUGGUCUGAGAGGAUGACCAGCCACACUGGAACUGAGACACGGUCCAGACUCCUACGGGAGGCAGCAGUGGGGAAUAUUGCACAAUGGGCGCAAGCCUGAUGCAGCCAUGCCGCGUGUAUGAAGAAGGCCUUCGGGUUGUAAAGUACUUUCAGCGGGGAGGAAGGCGAUAAGGUUAAUAACCUUGUCGAUUGACGUUACCCGCAGAAGAAGCACCGGCUAACUCCGUGCCAGCAGCCGCGGUAAUACGGAGGGUGCAAGCGUUAAUCGGAAUUACUGGGCGUAAAGCGCACGCAGGCGGUCUGUCAAGUCGGAUGUGAAAUCCCCGGGCUCAACCUGGGAACUGCAUUCGAAACUGGCAGGCUAGAGUCUUGUAGAGGGGGGUAGAAUUCCAGGUGUAGCGGUGAAAUGCGUAGAGAUCUGGAGGAAUACCGGUGGCGAAGGCGGCCCCCUGGACAAAGACUGACGCUCAGGUGCGAAAGCGUGGGGAGCAAACAGGAUUAGAUACCCUGGUAGUCCACGCCGUAAACGAUGUCGAUUUGGAGGUUGUGCCCUUGAGGCGUGGCUUCCGGAGCUAACGCGAUAAAUCGACCCGCA